GACCCAAAUGGUAACAGGUGCGGGAAG
RNAcentral lists this non-coding RNA (27 nucleotides) under Homo sapiens (human). Lineage: Eukaryota; Metazoa; Chordata; Mammalia; Primates; Hominidae. The record is from RNAcentral.